This 76-nucleotide transfer RNA is filed under the name mine drainage metagenome. Its description in RNAcentral is "tRNA-Lys". It matches the Rfam family "tRNA". Rfam says of the family: Transfer RNA (tRNA) molecules are approximately 80 nucleotides in length. Their secondary structure includes four short double-helical elements and three loops (D, anti-codon, and T loops). RNAcentral also lists the same sequence under 1 other name. The record is from RNAcentral.
GGGCCUGUAGCUCAGUUGGUAGAGCAACUGACUUUUAAUCAGUAGGUCACGGGUUCGGAUCCCGUCGGGCUCACCA